AAACUUUCAACAACGGAUCUCUUGGUUCUGGCAUCGAUGAAGAACGCAGCGAAAUGCGAUAAGUAAUGUGAAUUGCAGAAUUCAGUGAAUCAUCGAAUCUUUGAACGCACAUUGCGCCCUCUGGUAUUCCGGAG
RNAcentral lists this ribosomal RNA (134 nucleotides) under Diaporthe eres. RNAcentral's name for it is "5.8S ribosomal RNA". It matches the Rfam family "5.8S ribosomal RNA", at positions 1 to 133 of the family's 154-position model. Rfam says of the family: 5.8S ribosomal RNA (5.8S rRNA) is a component of the large subunit of the eukaryotic ribosome. It is transcribed by RNA polymerase I as part of the 45S precursor that also contains 18S and 28S rRNA. RNAcentral also lists the same sequence under 3 other names. Lineage: Eukaryota; Fungi; Ascomycota; Sordariomycetes; Diaporthales; Diaporthaceae. The record is from RNAcentral.